This 204-nucleotide ribosomal RNA is filed under the name uncultured bacterium. RNAcentral describes it as "partial 16S ribosomal RNA". It matches the Rfam family "Bacterial small subunit ribosomal RNA", at positions 1296 to 1500 of the family's 1533-position model. The record is from RNAcentral.
GAUUGCAGGCUGCAACCCGCCUGCAUGAAGUCGGAAUUGCUAGUAAUCGCGGAUCAGCAUGCCGCGGUGAACACGUUCCCGGGCCUUGUACACACCGCCCGUCACACCAUGGGAGCCGGUAAUACCCGAAGUCAGUAGUCCAACCACGUGAGGACGCUGCCGAAGGUAGGAUUGGCGACUGGGGUGAAGUCGUAACAAGGUACC